Molecule: ribosomal RNA, 422 nt
Filed under: Fusobacteriota bacterium
Lineage: Bacteria; Fusobacteriati; Fusobacteriota
Description: Fusobacteria bacterium partial 16S ribosomal RNA
Rfam family: Bacterial small subunit ribosomal RNA
Source: RNAcentral
UGGGGGAUUUUGCACAAUGGGCGCAAGCCUGAUGCAGCGACGCCGCGUGAGGGAUGAAGGCCUUCGGGUUGUAAACCUCUUUCGCUGGGUUGAAAGGCCAUGCUUUGGGUGUGGUUGAUUUGAACUGGUAAAGAAGUACCGGCUAACUACGUGCCAGCAGCCGCGGUAAUACGUAGGGUACUAGCGUUGUCCGGAUUUAUUGGGCGUAAAGGGCUUGUAGGUGGUUUGUCGCGUCUGUCGUGAAAUCCUGUGGCUUAACCAUGGGCUUGCGGUGGGUACGGGCAGGCUUGAGUGCGGUAGGGGAGACUGGAAUUCCUGGUGUAGCGGUGGAAUGCGCAGAUAUCAGGAGGAACACCGAUGGCGAAGGCAGGUCACUGGGCCGUUACUGACACUGAGGAGCGAAAGCGUGGGGAGCGAACAGG